Molecule: ribosomal RNA, 2990 nt
Filed under: Salmonella enterica subsp. enterica serovar Typhimurium var. 5-
Lineage: Bacteria; Pseudomonadati; Pseudomonadota; Gammaproteobacteria; Enterobacterales; Enterobacteriaceae
Description: bacterial LSU rRNA
Rfam family: Bacterial large subunit ribosomal RNA
Source: RNAcentral
UUAAGCGACUAAGCGUACACGGUGGAUGCCCUGGCAGUCAGAGGCGAUGAAGGGCGUGCUAAUCUGCGAUAAGCGCCGGUAAGGUGAUAUGAACCGUUAUAACCGGCGAUACCCGAAUGGGGAAACCCAGUGUGAUUCGUCACACUAUCAUUAACUGAAUCCAUAGGUUAAUGAGGCGAACCGGGGGAACUGAAACAUCUAAGUACCCCGAGGAAAAGAAAUCAACCGAGAUUCCCCCAGUAGCGGCGAGCGAACGGGGAGGAGCCCAGAGCCUGAAUCAGCAUGUGUGUUAGUGGAAGCGUCUGGAAAGGCGCGCGAUACAGGGUGACAGCCCCGUACACAAAAGCGCAUGUGCUGUGAGCUCGAUGAGUAGGGCGGGACACGUGGUAUCCUGUCUGAAUAUGGGGGGACCAUCCUCCAAGGCUAAAUACUCCUGACUGACCGAUAGUGAACCAGUACCGUGAGGGAAAGGCGAAAAGAACCCCGGCGAGGGGAGUGAAAAAGAACCUGAAACCGUGUACGUACAAGCAGUGGGAGCACAGGUUUACCUGUGUGACUGCGUACCUUUUGUAUAAUGGGUCAGCGACUUAUAUUCUGUAGCAAGGUUAACCGUAUAGGGGAGCCGGAGGGAAACCGAGUCUUAAUUGGGCGUUAAGUUGCAGGGUAUAGACCCGAAACCCGGUGAUCUAGCCAUGGGCAGGUUGAAGGUUGGGUAACACUAACUGGAGGACCGAACCGACUAAUGUUGAAAAAUUAGCGGAUGACCUGUGGCUGGGGGUGAAAGGCCAAUCAAACCGGGAGAUAGCUGGUUCUCCCCGAAAGCUAUUUAGGUAGCGCCUCGUGAAUUCAUCUCCGGGGGUAGAGCACUGUUUCGGCUAGGGGGCCAUCCCGGCUUACCAACCCGAUGCAAACUGCGAAUACCGGAGAAUGUUAUCACGGGAGACACACGGCGGGUGCUAACGUCCGUCGUGAAGAGGGAAACAACCCAGACCGCCAGCUAAGGUCCCAAAGUCAUGGUUAAGUGGGAAACGAUGUGGGAAGGCCCAGACAGCCAGGAUGUUGGCUUAGAAGCAGCCAUCAUUUAAAGAAAGCGUAAUAGCUCACUGGUCGAGUCGGCCUGCGCGGAAGAUGUAACGGGGCUAAACCAUGCACCGAAGCUGCGGCAGCGAACGUAUCACCCAAGACAACUUUACGGAGUUGACGAUUGACGGAGCGAAGCGACGUCAAAGCGUUCAUUAAAGUCGAGUUGGCUUAGGGAUACGUUCGUUGGGUAGGGGAGCGUUCUGUAAGCCUGUGAAGGUGUGUCGUGAGGCAUGCUGGAGGUAUCAGAAGUGCGAAUGCUGACAUAAGUAACGAUAAAGCGGGUGAAAAGCCCGCUCGCCGGAAGACCAAGGGUUCCUGUCCAACGUUAAUCGGGGCAGGGUGAGUCGACCCCUAAGGCGAGGCCGAAAGGCGUAGUCGAUGGGAAACGGGUUAAUAUUCCCGUACUUGGUGUUACUGCGAAGGGGGGACGGAGAAGGCUAUGUUGGCCGGGCGACGGUUGUCCCGGUUUAAGCGUGUAGGUGUGUGUUCCAGGUAAAUCCGGUUCACUUUAACACUGAGGCGUGACGACGAGGCACUACGGUGCUGAAGCAACAAAUGCCCUGCUUCCAGGAAAAGCCUCUAAGCAUCAGGUAACAUCAAAUCGUACCCCAAACCGACACAGGUGGUCAGGUAGAGAAUACCAAGGCGCUUGAGAGAACUCGGGUGAAGGAACUAGGCAAAAUGGUGCCGUAACUUCGGGAGAAGGCACGCUGACACGUAGGUGAAGUGAUUUACUCAUGGAGCUGAAGUCAGUCGAAGAUACCAGCUGGCUGCAACUGUUUAUUAAAAACACAGCACUGUGCAAACACGAAAGUGGACGUAUACGGUGUGACGCCUGCCCGGUGCCGGAAGGUUAAUUGAUGGGGUCAGCGCAAGCGAAGCUCCUGAUCGAAGCCCCGGUAAACGGCGGCCGUAACUAUAACGGUCCUAAGGUAGCGAAAUUCCUUGUCGGGUAAGUUCCGACCUGCACGAAUGGCGUAAUGAUGGCCAGGCUGUCUCCACCCGAGACUCAGUGAAAUUGAACUCGCUGUGAAGAUGCAGUGUACCCGCGGCAAGACGGAAAGACCCCGUGAACCUUUACUAUAGCUUGACACUGAACAUUGAGCCUUGAUGUGUAGGAUAGGUGGGAGGCUUUGAAGUGUGGACGCCAGUCUGCAUGGAGCCGACCUUGAAAUACCACCCUUUAAUGUUUGAUGUUCUAACGUGGACCCGUAAUCCGGGUUGCGGACAGUGUCUGGUGGGUAGUUUGACUGGGGCGGUCUCCUCCUAAAGAGUAACGGAGGAGCACGAAGGUUGGCUAAUCCUGGUCGGACAUCAGGAGGUUAGUGCAAUGGCAUAAGCCAGCUUGACUGCGAGCGUGACGGCGCGAGCAGGUGCGAAAGCAGGUCAUAGUGAUCCGGUGGUUCUGAAUGGAAGGGCCAUCGCUCAACGGAUAAAAGGUACUCCGGGGAUAACAGGCUGAUACCGCCCAAGAGUUCAUAUCGACGGCGGUGUUUGGCACCUCGAUGUCGGCUCAUCACAUCCUGGGGCUGAAGUAGGUCCCAAGGGUAUGGCUGUUCGCCAUUUAAAGUGGUACGCGAGCUGGGUUUAGAACGUCGUGAGACAGUUCGGUCCCUAUCUGCCGUGGGCGCUGGAGAACUGAGGGGGGCUGCUCCUAGUACGAGAGGACCGGAGUGGACGCAUCACUGGUGUUCGGGUUGUCAUGCCAAUGGCACUGCCCGGUAGCUAAAUGCGGAAGAGAUAAGUGCUGAAAGCAUCUAAGCACGAAACUUGCCCCGAGAUGAGUUCUCCCUGAGACUUUAGGUCUCCUGAAGGAACGUUGAAGACGACGACGUUGAUAGGCCGGGUGUGUAAGCGCAGCGAUGCGUUGAGCUAACCGGUACUAAUGAACCGUGAGGCUUAACCUU